UUAAGUACUGGCUUCCGUGGAUUACUUUGUUUGGCGGCUGACGAAGAGCGUAACCAGUCGCGAAAGAGGUGGUGACGUGUAGGCCACGAUCCACUCGUGCUCCAACGGGCAAACUGUUUAAAAUCCCUCUGGGAAUUUAAACAUCUUCGCAUGAGGUUGA
RNAcentral lists this ribosomal RNA (160 nucleotides) under Riccardoella tokyoensis. Its description in RNAcentral is "5.8S rRNA". Lineage: Eukaryota; Metazoa; Arthropoda; Arachnida; Trombidiformes; Ereynetidae. The record is from RNAcentral.